CACGUAGGGCGCAAGCGUUGUCCGGAAUUAUUGGGCGUAAAGAGCUCGUAGGCGGUCUGUUGCGUCCGCUGUGAAAACUCGGGGCUUAACCCCGAGCCUGCAGUGGAUACGGGCAGACUAGAGGUAGGUAGGGGAGAAUGGAAUUCCCGGUGUAGCGGUGGAAUGCGCAGAUAUCAGGAGGAACACCGGUGGCGAAGGCGGGUCUCUGGGCCGUUACUGACGCUGAGGAGCGAAAGCGUGGGGAGCGAACAGG
Molecule: ribosomal RNA, 253 nt
Filed under: uncultured bacterium
Lineage: Bacteria
Description: partial 16S ribosomal RNA
Rfam family: Bacterial small subunit ribosomal RNA
Source: RNAcentral